RNAcentral lists this unclassified non-coding RNA (787 nucleotides) under Zea mays. RNAcentral's name for it is "misc RNA Zm00001eb208360". The record is from RNAcentral. Lineage: Eukaryota; Viridiplantae; Streptophyta; Magnoliopsida; Poales; Poaceae.
CCUCCAACCCCCCCUCACGAGAAUCUAGAAAGGAGGGACUGCAUUUAUCCGGAUAAUCUUUUUCGCAAACUCCACCGCGGAAAAGAGGCGAACCAAAAUCAGAUUUAUUAAACUCCUUUCUUUCUUUCUUUCUUUUUUUAAGGAUCAGAUGAUGAUAGCUUGUAUUCACUACACGCUCAGAUCUUUAGCCAGCCAGAAUGAAAGGAGACGAUGGCAGUAGCUUUACUAGUUGGGGUGGGGGACAGCGUAUCGGGAUCGGACCGUACCCUACAUUUAACACCGGAAAUGGUUGGUCCGGCGGAUUACAUACAGGGUAACCGCCGAAUUAAUCCUGGGCCGCGAGACGAGAUGCCCGAGGUCGCCAUCCCAUGAUUCCAGGCAUGCAACAAAGCUCAUGGAAUGGAACAACAACAAGAUUCACACACAGCAAAACUAGAGCAGAACCGAAGCGAUAAGGAAACGUCGAAAAGAUUCACAUGGCGAAACAAAAGCAAAACCCAAGUGAUAAAGGAAACAUCAAGAAACCAAGAGGAGGAGAGGAGAGGACAAGCUGCCGGUGCCAGGCAACCGUCGCUCGGAAACCCCAGGCAGGCGGACACACACACACACACACACACAAAAAGAAGCAAAACGCGGCACAGCAUCGCAAGAAGAAACAGCGCAGAGCCGCCGUUGCAGUUGCAAGAUAAGACACGAAAAACCGGAGCUUUUCCGCACACGAUCCUCCAAGAGCUGGAAAACACACGGGGGGUCGUCGGGAGCGCACGGGGGCUUACCUCCGAUCUGC